Molecule: small nucleolar RNA, 69 nt
Organism: Carcharodon carcharias (great white shark)
Lineage: Eukaryota; Metazoa; Chordata; Chondrichthyes; Lamniformes; Lamnidae
Source: RefSeq, a predicted model, not a curated record
UCUCAUGAUGAAAGCUAUUUCCAGUUCUGCUACUGAAUUGAACUGCUGAUACACAAGUGAUCUGAGGAA